Molecule: long non-coding RNA, 1495 nt
Filed under: Serinus canaria (Common canary)
Lineage: Eukaryota; Metazoa; Chordata; Aves; Passeriformes; Fringillidae
Description: lncRNA (ENSSCAG00000001573.1)
Source: RNAcentral
AAAGGGCCCAAAUCCCAAAGAUCCCAAAUCCCAGAGGGCCCUUCCCAAAUCCCAAAGACCCCAAAUCCCAAAGAUCCCAAAUCCCAGAGGGCCCUUCCCAAAUCCCAAAGAUCCCAAAUCCCAAAGAUCCCAAAUCCCAGAGGGCCCUUCCCAAAUCCCAAAGAUCCCAAAUCCCAAAGAUCCCAAAUCCCAGAGGGCCCUUCCCAAAUCCCAAACCUCUCCAAAACCUCUCUCCUACCCCCCCAAAAAACCCCAAACCUCUCCCCAAAUCCCGAAUUUCCCUAAUUGAGUUUUUGUUUUAUGUUUGAAUUUUUUGUUGUAUUUUUGCAGCUCUCGCUGUUCCCGUUCCGGCCCCUCCCUUUCCCAGGAGGUUCCCAAGGAUGAUCCCGAGGCUCUGGAAAUUCCCAAAAUUCCAGUUCCUCUUCCACAUUCCCCAGAACCAGCCCAGAAUUCCCAAAAUUCCCCCCUGGCUUUUCCUGGGGGGUUCCAGCCCCGAAAUUCUGCAGCCCCACAGCAGAGGGAGGAGGAGCCGGGAGCUGAGGCACAGAAUGAAGGCUCAGAUUCUGUCAUUUUGCUCAAAGUCAAGGAUUCCAAGACUCCAGCUCCAAGCCUCCCCUUUUUCCAGGCCGAGCUGUGGAUUAAAGAGCUGUGAGUUCACAUCCCUGACACUUUUUAGGAUAGAAAAAAAAACCCCCCAAAAUCCUGAUUUUUAACCUCAUUUUCCCAUUAAAAUUGGAUUUUUUUUUUCUAGGACAAGUGUUUAUGAUUCCCGAGCCAGAGAGAGGUGGAGACAAAUCGAGGAGCAGAAAGCUCUGGCCCUGCAGCUCCAGAGCCAGGUGAGACUUGGGGAAAAAAAAAAAACCCUGGAAUGGCAAAAAUGGGGGAAAAAAGUGAAAAAACAGGGAAAAAAAUCAAAUUUUUGAACUCUUUGACAGCCAAGAAAAGAGGGAAUAUUAUCCCAGAGUGGGAAGGAGCUCAGGGAUUGGAAAAGGAGGCAGGAUCUGUGGGAAUGGGGGGAAAAAAUGCAGAUUUGGCACUAGGAAAGGUUGAAUUCCAUCAUUCCAGAGGUUUUUCCUGAUUUUAUUGAUCCUAAAUCCAAGAAAUGGGGGAAAAAAUGCAGAUUUGGCACUUGGAAAGGUUGAAUUCCAUCAUUCCAGAGGUUUUUCCUGAUUUUAUUGAUCCUAAAUCCAAGAAAUGGGGGAAAAAAUGCAGAUUUGGCACUUGGAAGGGUUGAAUUCCAUCAUUCCAGAUGUUUUCCUCAAUUUUCUUGGUCCUAAAUUGUAGAAAUGGGGAAAGAAAUGUAGAUUUGGCAUUUGGAAGGGUUGAAUUCCAUCAUUCCAGAGGUUUUUCCUGAUUUUAUUGAUCCUAAAUCCUGGAAAUGGGAGAGAAAAAAUGCAGAUGUGGCUCUGGAAGGGUUGAAUUCCAUCAUUCCAGAAGUUUUUCCCAAUUUUAUUGAUCCUAAAUCCUGGAAAUGGGGGAAAAAAUGCAGAUUUGG